RNAcentral lists this ribosomal RNA (458 nucleotides) under uncultured bacterium. Its description in RNAcentral is "partial 16S ribosomal RNA". It matches the Rfam family "Bacterial small subunit ribosomal RNA", at positions 338 to 795 of the family's 1533-position model. The record is from RNAcentral.
CCUACGGGAGGCAGCAGUGAGGAAUAUUGGUCAAUGGGCGAGAGCCUGAACCAGCCAAGUCGCGUGAGGGAGUACUGCCCUAUGGGUUGUAAACCUCUUUUGUCGGGGAGCAAAAGCCGGACGUGUCCGGCUGUGAGAGUACCCGAAGAAAAAGCAUCGGCUAACUCCGUGCCAGCAGCCGCGGUACUACGGGGGAAGCGAGCGUUAUCCGGAUUUAUUGGGUUUAAAGGGUGCGCAGGCGGAUUUUUAAGUCAGCGGUAAAAUCGUGGGGCUCAACCCCAUCCAGCCGUUGAAACUGGGGAUCUAGAGUGUGCGAGAGGUAUGCGGAAUGCGUGGUGUAGCGGUGAAAUGCAUAGAUAUCACGCAGAACCCCGAUUGCGAAGGCAGCAUACCGGUGCACAACUGACGCUCAGGCACGAAAGCGUGGGUAUCGAACAGGAUUAGAUACCCGAGUAGUC